Molecule: long non-coding RNA, 664 nt
Filed under: Manacus vitellinus (golden-collared manakin)
Lineage: Eukaryota; Metazoa; Chordata; Aves; Passeriformes; Pipridae
Description: lncRNA (ENSMVIG00005016199.1)
Source: RNAcentral
UGUGUUUACAGGUUACUAAGCAGCCAUCACCUAACCCCCCCCUUUAUUCCCCUGUCAAUACCUGCAAAACAGCUGUAGAAGAACAAACAGCUCUUUGUGGCCCUUUGAAAAGGCUCAGAGAGGCCAACAGUGCCCUGGGAUAUCUCACACUGAGGGUGAACAGCGCGGGCUCUUUGCUGGAUUAUCACCGCUGAAAGGAGCUGCAAAGCAUCCAACUCCACAAAUGAAAGAUGUUAAUAGAGCGGUCCCAGCGGAGGGAGAGGCUGUAGAUUACGUGGAGCUGCUUUCACAUCCUGCGAAAUGUGCAGAUUUAAAUAACAUUCCCCUCUCACAAGGAUAAAUCUCCGCGCUCGCCACAAAGAGCCGCAGCCCGGGCCCACGCCAGGCUCCUCCAGAGGGCUCAUGGGAGACAUGGGUGAAGCACUGAAGACCUGGAAUUUGUGUCCCCUGCUCGAUGCAGGGGUCCCAAACAGCUCCACUAGGACACCACAACAAGAGGCAGCAGAUCCCAGGAGGGUUUUCUCCUGCUGCUUUACAACAAAGGACUUGGGAGGUUGAGAAGGGGAGUUUCCCAUCCCACUGGGAAGGUCUCAAAUAUCCUGGCAAGGAUUCAUCAGGACUAGGAAGCACUUCCCAUUCUGAGGGAACUGCUGAUGAAGGAUGA